RNAcentral lists this unclassified non-coding RNA (361 nucleotides) under fungal sp. RNAcentral describes it as "partial internal transcribed spacer region". The stretch from base 1 to 46 matches the Rfam family "Eukaryotic small subunit ribosomal RNA", at positions 1786 to 1831 of the family's 1831-position model. The record is from RNAcentral. Lineage: Eukaryota; Fungi.
AAGUCGUAACAAGGUUUCCGUAGGUGAACCUGCGGAAGGAUCAUUAACACGUAUCCAAACGUUAAAACCCCCCCCGUGAACCUUCAUCCUGCUCUUGUAACCCGCGUAGUUCGCAAUCUCUGAUAAAUCAUAGCCCGGAAAGUUGUAGUGAUUCAGAGACCUCUGGCUACGUGCGAACAUUGGAACAGUUACAAUCGAGCGGUAGUUCUAUAGGCAAUGUUUCCCCAAGCAGUCAGUGUCGGAAAGUGUCAUUGAUUGUGCAAGGAUACGAUUCCUGUACCCCACAGUUUAAUGUGAAGCUCAAUGUAAUACAUUGGGUAAAAAAACCGAACAACUGUUAACAAUGGAUAUCUUGGUUCUC